This 77-nucleotide transfer RNA is filed under the name Vibrio cholerae. RNAcentral describes it as "tRNA-Met". It matches the Rfam family "tRNA". From Rfam's summary of the family: Transfer RNA (tRNA) molecules are approximately 80 nucleotides in length. Their secondary structure includes four short double-helical elements and three loops (D, anti-codon, and T loops). Further hydrogen bonds mediate the characteristic L-shaped molecular structure. tRNAs have two regions of fundamental functional importance: the anti-codon, which is responsible for specific mRNA codon recognition, and the 3' end, to which the tRNAs corresponding amino acid is attached (by aminoacyl-tRNA synthetases). tRNAs cope with the degeneracy of the genetic code in two manners: having more than one tRNA (with a specific anti-codon) for a particular amino acid; and 'wobble' base-pairing, i.e. permitting non-standard base-pairing at the 3rd anti-codon position. The record is from RNAcentral. Lineage: Bacteria; Pseudomonadati; Pseudomonadota; Gammaproteobacteria; Vibrionales; Vibrionaceae.
CGCGGGGUGGAGCAGCUUGGUAGCUCGUCGGGCUCAUAACCCGAAGGUCGUCGGUUCAAAUCCAGCUCCCGCAACCA